RNAcentral lists this ribosomal RNA (489 nucleotides) under uncultured bacterium. RNAcentral's name for it is "bacterial SSU rRNA". It matches the Rfam family "Bacterial small subunit ribosomal RNA", at positions 8 to 518 of the family's 1533-position model. The record is from RNAcentral.
AGAGUUUGAUCCUGGCUCAGGAUGGACGCUGGCGGCGUGCCUAACACAUGCAAGUCGAGCGAUUACUUCGGUAAAGAGCGGCGGACGGGUGAGUAACGCGUGGGUAACCUGCCUCAUACACAUGGAUAACAUACCGAAAGGUAUGCUAAUACAGGAUAAUAUAAGAGAUUCACAUGGAUUUCUUAUCAAAGCUCCGGCGGUAUGAGAUGGACCCGCGUCUGAUUAGCUAGUUGGUAAGGUAAUGGCUUACCAAGGCGACGAUCAGUAGCCGACCUGAGAGGGUGAUCGGCCACAUUGGAACUGAGACACGGUACCAAACUCCUACGGGAGGCAGCAGGUGGGGAAUAUUGCACAAGUGGGACGAAAGCCUGAUGCAGCAACGCCGCGUGAGUGAUAGAAGGCCGUUCGGGUACGUAAAACUCUGUCCUCAAGGAAGAUAAUGACGGUACUUGAGGAGGAACGCCCGGCUAACUACGUGCCAGCCGCGGC